This 515-nucleotide ribosomal RNA is filed under the name uncultured bacterium. RNAcentral's name for it is "partial 16S ribosomal RNA". It matches the Rfam family "Bacterial small subunit ribosomal RNA", at positions 28 to 523 of the family's 1533-position model. The record is from RNAcentral.
GACGAACGCUGGCGGCGUGCCUAAUACAUGCAAGUCGAGCGGACGUUUUUGAAGCUUGCUUUAAAAACGUUAGCGGCGGACGGUGAGUAACACGUGGGCAACCUACCUUAUCGACUGGGAUAACUCCGGGAAACCGGGGCUAAUACCGGAUAACAUCUAGCACCUCCUGGUGCCGGAUUGAAAGAGGGCUUCUUGCUCUCACGAUAAGAUGGGCCCGCGGCGCAUUAGCUAGUUGGAGAGGUAAUGGCUCCCCAAGGCGACGAUGCGUAGCCGACCUGAGAGGGUGAUCGGCCACACUGGGACUGAGACACGGCCCAGACUCCUACGGGAGGCAGCAGUAGGGAAUCUUCCGCAAUGGACGAAAGUCUGACGGAGCAACGCCGCGUGAGUGAUGAAGGGUUUCGGCUCGUAAAGCUCUGUUAUGAGGGAAGAACACGUACCGCUCGAAUAGGGCGGUACCUUGACGGUACCUCAUCAGAAAGCCACGGCUAACUACGUGCCAGCCGCCGCAGUAA